GCACAGGGUAACUUAGUGGACAUGGCAUCUGUCCGGUAAACGGAACACUUGUGGGUUCGAUUCCCAUCCCUAGACA
Molecule: non-coding RNA, 76 nt
Organism: Cordylochernes scorpioides
Lineage: Eukaryota; Metazoa; Arthropoda; Arachnida; Pseudoscorpiones; Chernetidae
Source: the annotation of a GenBank genome assembly